RNAcentral lists this ribosomal RNA (230 nucleotides) under uncultured bacterium. RNAcentral describes it as "partial 16S ribosomal RNA". It matches the Rfam family "Bacterial small subunit ribosomal RNA", at positions 15 to 235 of the family's 1533-position model. The record is from RNAcentral.
GAUCCUGGCUCAGGAUUAACGCUAGCUACAGGCUUAACACAUGCAAGUCGAGGGGGCAGCAUGGUCUUAGCUUGCUAAGGCCGAUGGCGACCGGCGCACGGGUGAGUAACACGUAUCCAACCUGCCGUCUACUCUUGGACAGCCUUCUGAAAGGAAGAUUAAUACAAGAUGGCAUCAUGAGUCCGCAUGUUCACAUGAUUAAAGGUAUUCCGGUAGACGAUGGGGAUGCG